Molecule: ribosomal RNA, 2902 nt
Filed under: Klebsiella pneumoniae
Lineage: Bacteria; Pseudomonadati; Pseudomonadota; Gammaproteobacteria; Enterobacterales; Enterobacteriaceae
Description: 23S ribosomal RNA
Rfam family: Bacterial large subunit ribosomal RNA
Source: RNAcentral
GGUUAAGCGACUAAGCGUACACGGUGGAUGCCCUGGCAGUCAGAGGCGAUGAAGGACGUGCUAAUCUGCGAAAAGCGUCGGUAAGGUGAUAUGAACCGUUAUAACCGGCGAUGUCCGAAUGGGGAAACCCAGUGUGAUUCGUCACACUAUCGUUAACUGAAUACAUAGGUUAACGAGGCGAACCGGGGGAACUGAAACAUCUAAGUACCCCGAGGAAAAGAAAUCAACCGAGAUUCCCCCAGUAGCGGCGAGCGAACGGGGAGCAGCCCAGAGUCUGAAUCAGCUUGUGUGUUAGUGGAACGGUCUGGAAAGUCCGACGGUACAGGGUGAUAGUCCCGUACACCAAAAUGCACAGGUUGUGAACUCGAAGAGUAGGGCGGGACACGUGGUAUCCUGUCUGAAUAUGGGGGGACCAUCCUCCAAGGCUAAAUACUCCUGACUGACCGAUAGUGAACCAGUACCGUGAGGGAAAGGCGAAAAGAACCCCGGCGAGGGGAGUGAAAAAGAACCUGAAACCGUGUACGUACAAGCAGUGGGAGCACCUUCGGGUGUGACUGCGUACCUUUUGUAUAAUGGGUCAGCGACUUAUAUUCUGUAGCAAGGUUAACCGUAUAGGGGAGCCGCAGGGAAACCGAGUCUUAACUGGGCGUUAAGUUGCAGGGUAUAGACCCGAAACCCGGUGAUCUAGCCAUGGGCAGGUUGAAGGUUGGGUAACACUAACUGGAGGACCGAACCGACUAAUGUUGAAAAAUUAGCGGAUGACUUGUGGCUGGGGGUGAAAGGCCAAUCAAACCGGGAGAUAGCUGGUUCUCCCCGAAAGCUAUUUAGGUAGCGCCUCGUGAACUCAUCUUCGGGGGUAGAGCACUGUUUCGGCUAGGGGGUCAUCCCGACUUACCAACCCGAUGCAAACUACGAAUACCGAAGAAUGUUAUCACGGGAGACACACGGCGGGUGCUAACGUCCGUCGUGAAGAGGGAAACAACCCAGACCGCCAGCUAAGGUCCCAAAGUCAUGGUUAAGUGGGAAACGAUGUGGGAAGGCACAGACAGCCAGGAUGUUGGCUUAGAAGCAGUCAUCAUUUAAAGAAAGCGUAAUAGCUCACUGGUCGAGUCGGCCUGCGCGGAAGAUGUAACGGGGCUAAACCAUGCACCGAAGCUGCGGCAGCGACACUAUGUGUUGUUGGGUAGGGGAGCGUUCUGUAAGUCUGCGAAGGUGACCUGUGAGGGUUGCUGGAGGUAUCAGAAGUGCGAAUGCUGACAUAAGUAACGAUAAAGCGGGUGAAAAGCCCGCUCGCCGGAAGACCAAGGGUUCCUGUCCAACGUUAAUCGGGGCAGGGUGAGUCGACCCCUAAGGCGAGGCCGAAAGGCGUAGUCGAUGGGAAACAGGUUAAUAUUCCUGUACUUGGUGUUACUGCGAAGGGGGGACGGAGAAGGCUAUGUUAGCCGGGCGACGGUUGUCCCGGUUUAAGCAUGUAGGCUGAUUAUCCAGGCAAAUCCGGAUAAUCAAGGCUGAGGUGUGAUGACGAGGCACUACGGUGCUGAAGUAACAAAUGCCCUGCUUCCAGGAAAAGCCUCUAAGCAUCAGGUAACAUUAAAUCGUACCCCAAACCGACACAGGUGGUCAGGUAGAGAAUACCAAGGCGCUUGAGAGAACUCGGGUGAAGGAACUAGGCAAAAUGGUGCCGUAACUUCGGGAGAAGGCACGCUGGUGUGUAGGUGAAGUCCCUGCGGAUGGAGCUGAGACCAGUCGAAGAUACCAGCUGGCUGCAACUGUUUAUUAAAAACACAGCACUGUGCAAACACGAAAGUGGACGUAUACGGUGUGACGCCUGCCCGGUGCCGGAAGGUUAAUUGAUGGGGUUAUCCGUAAGGAGAAGCUCUUGAUCGAAGCCCCGGUAAACGGCGGCCGUAACUAUAACGGUCCUAAGGUAGCGAAAUUCCUUGUCGGGUAAGUUCCGACCUGCACGAAUGGCGUAAUGAUGGCCAGGCUGUCUCCACCCGAGACUCAGUGAAAUUGAACUCGCUGUGAAGAUGCAGUGUACCCGCGGCAAGACGGAAAGACCCCGUGAACCUUUACUAUAGCUUGACACUGAACAUUGAGCCUUGAUGUGUAGGAUAGGUGGGAGGCUUUGAAGCGUGGACGCCAGUCUGCGUGGAGCCAACCUUGAAAUACCACCCUUUAAUGUUUGAUGUUCUAACGUUGGCCCCUGACCGGGGUUGCGGACAGUGUCUGGUGGGUAGUUUGACUGGGGCGGUCUCCUCCCAAAGCGUAACGGAGGAGCACGAAGGUUAGCUAAUCCUGGUCGGACAUCAGGAGGUUAGUGCAAUGGCAUAAGCUAGCUUGACUGCGAGCGUGACGGCGCGAGCAGGUGCGAAAGCAGGUCAUAGUGAUCCGGUGGUUCUGAAUGGAAGGGCCAUCGCUCAACGGAUAAAAGGUACUCCGGGGAUAACAGGCUGAUACCGCCCAAGAGUUCAUAUCGACGGCGGUGUUUGGCACCUCGAUGUCGGCUCAUCACAUCCUGGGGCUGAAGUAGGUCCCAAGGGUAUGGCUGUUCGCCAUUUAAAGUGGUACGCGAGCUGGGUUUAGAACGUCGUGAGACAGUUCGGUCCCUAUCUGCCGUGGACGCUGGAGAAUUGAGGGGGGCUGCUCCUAGUACGAGAGGACCGGAGUGGACGCAUCACUGGUGUUCGGGUUGUCAUGCCAAUGGCACUGCCCGGUAGCUAAAUGCGGAAGAGAUAAGUGCUGAAAGCAUCUAAGCACGAAACUUGCCCCGAGAUGAGUUCUCCCUGAGACUUUAAGUCUCCUGAAGGAACGUUAAAGACGAUGACGUUGAUAGGCCGGGUGUGUAAGCGCAGCGAUGCGUUGAGCUAACCGGUACUAAUGAACCGUGAGGCUUAACCUU